RNAcentral lists this ribosomal RNA (868 nucleotides) under uncultured bacterium. RNAcentral's name for it is "bacterial SSU rRNA". It matches the Rfam family "Bacterial small subunit ribosomal RNA", at positions 33 to 875 of the family's 1533-position model. The record is from RNAcentral.
ACGCUGGCGGCGCGUCUKAAACAUGCAAGUCGAACGGUCUCUUUUUUAGAAGCUUGCUUUUUGGAAGAGAUAGUGGCGAACGGGUGAGUAACACGUGGAUAAUCUGUCUGUGGGUUGGGGAUAACUGUCCGAAAGGAUAGCUAAUACCGAAUGAGAUGGUAGUUACACAAGUAGCAGCCAUUAAAGGUGGGGAUCGCAAGACCUACCGCCUGGAGGUGAGUCCGCGGCUGAUUAGCUUGUUGGUGGGGUAAUGGCCUACCAAGGCGACGAUCAGUAGCCGGCCUGAGAGGGUGAACGGCCACAUUGGGACUGAGAUACGGCCCAGACUCCUACGGGAGGCAGCAGUUAAGAAUCUUGCACAAUGGGCGCAAGCCUGAUGCAGCGACGCCGCGUGAAUGAUGAAGGCCUUCGGGUUGUAAAGUUCAGUAAGCAGGGAAGAAUAAGUAAGGGGUAAUAUUCCUUAUGAUGACGGUACCUGCCUAAAGCCCCGGCUAACUACGUGCCAGCAGCCGCGGUAAUACGUAUGGGGCGAGCGUUGUUCGGAAUUAUUGGGCAUAAAGGGCGUCUAGGCGGGGGACUAAGUUAGAUGUGAAAGCUAUGGGCUCAACCCAUAAAUUGCAUCUAAAACUGGUUUUCUUGAGUUCGGGAGAGGAGAGCGGAAUUCCAGGUGUAGCGGUGAAAUGCGUAGAUAUCUGGAAGAACACCGGUGGCGAAGGCGGCUCUCUGGCCUAGAACUGACGCUGAAGCGCGAAAGCGUGGGUAGCAAACAGGAUUAGAUACCCUGGUAGUCCACGCUGUAAACGUUGUAUACUAGGUGUUAGCGGCUAGUCUGCUAGUGCCGAAGCAAACGCAUUCAGUAUACCGCCUG